Molecule: transfer RNA, 72 nt
Filed under: Blautia hansenii DSM 20583
Lineage: Bacteria; Bacillati; Bacillota; Clostridia; Lachnospirales; Lachnospiraceae
Also listed under: 1 other name
Description: tRNA-Asn
Rfam family: tRNA
About the family: Transfer RNA (tRNA) molecules are approximately 80 nucleotides in length. Their secondary structure includes four short double-helical elements and three loops (D, anti-codon, and T loops).
Source: RNAcentral
GGGUGUAUAGCCUAGUGGUUAGGCAACUGCCUGUUAAGCAGUCUUAGAUGUGUUCAAUUCACAUUGCACCCG